Molecule: ribosomal RNA, 253 nt
Filed under: uncultured bacterium
Lineage: Bacteria
Description: partial 16S ribosomal RNA
Rfam family: Bacterial small subunit ribosomal RNA
Source: RNAcentral
UACGUAGGGUGCAAGCGUUAAUCGGAAUUACUGGGCGUAAAGCGUGCGCAGGCGGUUUUGUAAGCCAGAUGCGAAAGCCCCGGGCUCAACCUGGGAAUGGCAUUUGGGACUGCAAGGCUUGAGUGCGGCAGAGGAGACUGGAAUUCCUGGUGUAGCAGUGAAAUGCGUAGAUAUCAGGAGGAAUACCGAUGGCGAAGGCAGGUCUCUGGGCUGACACUGACGCUCAUGCACGAAAGCGUGGGGAGCAAACAGG